Molecule: ribosomal RNA, 5772 nt
Filed under: Triticum aestivum (bread wheat)
Lineage: Eukaryota; Viridiplantae; Streptophyta; Magnoliopsida; Poales; Poaceae
Description: partial small subunit ribosomal RNA
Source: RNAcentral
AUGAUUAGCAUAGUAGGGUACUCCAUCAUUGCCAAUGGACACGGCGGCACCCAAGCAGCAGAGAUAACCCAACGGCUGGGAGGCUUUACAGGCUUGGUGCAGAAAGCAUGGCACCAUGCCACAAUUGCAGCGGGCCUAUGGCUAGGAGGGGGACCUGCAGAAGAGGCAGGCAUGAGAGCUUGCAUGAAUGCAAGCAUAUGCUACACGUACACCCAGAAGUGCAGUAACAAUCUUGUAAAGACCACUUCAAGAAAAAUCAGUCACUCAAUGAUUAGCAUAGUAGGGUACUCCAUCAUUGCCAAUGGACACGGCGGCACCCAAGCAGCAGAGAUAACCCAACGGCUGGGAGGCUUUACAGGCUUGGUGCAGAAAGCAUGGCACCAUGCCACAAUUGCAGCGGGCCUAUGGCUAGGAGGGGGACCUGCAGAAGAGGCAGGCAUGAGAGCUUGCAUGAAUGCAAGCAUAUGCUACACGUACACCCAGAAGUGCAGUAUCAGCGAUCAUGAGUUCGCCCACAAAAGCAAUCAGCAGCAGAAUCCUGCCCUCGCCACCAUUGGGGAAGCACCCACGAAAGCAAUCAGCGGCAUCACCUACGAUAAGCAAAGGAGAGCACGACCAAAUCUGCUCUUGGGGUCAUGCAAGAACAUGUGCCGCCGUGGUUCUAUUCUCUCGGCAUCGGAUCAAGGGAAGAUGGUGUUGCCUCCCACGCAGGGGGCGCCCCGUCUCACUAGUUGUUUGCACGACGGAGAAAGAGGGAGGAGCGGGGGAAGGGGAUGUUGGUUGAUGGGUGAUGGGAUUCUGGUGACAGCCACCGAGGUGUGGGGUAGCAACAAAAUCACAGAGGCUGUCGAGCAAAUGUGGAUCCCAUUGGAUGCUAUUGGGUUGGCGAUGUUGUCCAGUCCUCCCGGUUUUGGGAAGAUGCCUACUUUCUUCAUUCUGUUCAGCCCAAAAUUUAGUGAAUUGUCGGGUGAAUUGACACGUCGUACUGUCAGUCAGCGAGUUAGCGUCUGUUGUCCGGUCGGGAGGGUGUUUCCAUGGUCACUAAAUCUUGUGGUCUCCUCCCAACAUAUCUCAGGCUUAGGCAUGGCCUGUGGACUGCUGGUCCGUCACUCACAAAGAAGCGCGAAAGAAAGCACCGGCGUUUCCUUACCACAAGACGGCGAUCAACCCACCAUUGACCCCCUUUCAUCUAACCGCGACGUCCGAUCCACCCCGUGGUGCAGAGGCUCCCUUAUCCAGUGUCGGCAUCUGCUCCUCGUUGCAGUUACUCCUUGUGAUGGACAGAGAAAGCUCAGAAAUGGUUUUCAGAGAAAACUUCGGAGAUGGCAUGGCAAAUCGAUCCUGAAAUACACGCACCUUCGAGAGCGCCGCCACCGCCCGACCCGAGGGUCAGAGUUUCCCUGGAGCAACACGACGGGCAAUGAUGGCCGCGACAACGCCUUCAAGAAGGGAACGAGUUUUGCCGCCGCCGGUCUGUCCGAAGAAAGAACAGGUUUUCACCCCGGCCAAAAGUCAUCGCCACCGGACUUACACUCCGGCGACCAUGCCGCCCACACGACCAUAGUCACCGGACAGCACCAAGCCACGAGCUCUGCCCGUGAGCACCGCAUCACCACCAUCAGGGCCGCCGCCCCGACAUCCAAGACCUCGACGCCACCUCACCCGCCACCCAUCGCUACCCCAACCAAAGAAAUGGGUGGAAAGGCCCCGCCUUUAGCACUCCUGAGCAGCCCCCAGCGCCGAGACCCACUAGGCCGGCCAAAACUGGCCUCCAUCGGCUCGUCCUGCCGCCGGGCGCGAGACGAGCUCGGUCUUGCUGCUGGACGCGAGACAAGUCCGGUCCUGCUGUCGGGCGCGAGACGAGUCGGUCCUGCUGUCGGGCGCGAGACGAGUCCGUGCCCGAACGACGAGGAGAGGAAUCGAUGGUCGACGGGGACACUCACCGACGGGCCAACGCCGAAGAAGUCCGGCCGCCGCCGUGAAACGCCCCCGACCACCGCCGUGAGCCACCACCAUGCCGUGGCAGCCCACAUCCACGCCGGGGCCCCGAGGAACCGCCCAGAGGCCCCACCGACGGCCAUGGGCCAGAUCCGAGGAGCAGGCCGGCAACCGCCACCGCCCCCUCCAGAAGCCGCGACCAUGACGAGCCCCGGCCACCGCCCUGCGCCACCAGCCGGGUCCCCGGCGACAGAUCCGGUCGGAUCUGGCCGAAAACCGGCUCGCCCGCAACCUCCUGCAUCGCCACCGCGUCAGAUCCACCGCCGCCAUGAGAGCGCCCACCACCACCGCGAGGCCCUCCACGCCACCACCACGAGCCAGCAGCCCCGCCGCCGGACCAUGAAACCACGCCGCUGCGCCCCCCAAAGAUCAGCGCCAUCGCCCGAGCAAGGCGCCCUGCAUCGCCGCCGCCCAAGCAGGGAGAGACGAGACCCCACCGCCGCCAACACCCAAUGGGCUUCGCCCGCCGGUGCGAACUGGCGGCGGCGAGGGAGGAAGACGAAGGGGAGGGGGGCCGGCCGGCGGCGCCCUAGGGUUUCCCCCCGGUCGCCCGCGGGGACGACACGGGAGGAGGAGAUUAGGAUCGCACGAGGCGAUCUAGGAGGCGACGAGGGUUCCCUGCGCGCCGCCGGUGACGCCGCCGGUUCCCUCUCUCUCCGCCGGCCGCUCCGGCGGAGGGAGGGAGGGGAACCUCGGGUAUGUUCGCUAGGAGCCAGCGGGGUUGGGGAUCCCCGGAUCUCGUCGAGGUCGCGGGCUAUGGUGGCUGGAGGUCCAUCGGCACUGGCCGUUUGGGUCCUCAGAUGGGCGAUGGAUGCAGGGAGACGAAAACCCUUCUUCUUCCUUGUUGGUAUGAUUUGCUGCUGCUGUUCUUCUCCUUCCUCUGCGCUGAUGCUGGUGGGAGAUCCUGCUUUGCCCGGGCUGAUGGCCCGGCCACGGUGCUGGACCGGUCGGAUGACUCGAGUUCUCUUCCUUCCGAAAGAGACACUUUUCGCGGCACUCAAAGCCAAAGAUGGCGACGGCUGUUGCAGGUAUGUUGGAUUGAUGUCCAUGCCCUCUCAGCGCUGGUGUCAAGAAAGGAGGAAGCAGCAUGGCGGCAAUUGUACCGAGGUCGAAGAUGAUGACCUGCUUGUGACUGGUUACAGAUACUUCUGCUGCAGGGGUCUUCUCUCAAGAUUCAGGGAUGAUGACACAGGGCUCCGGAGAUCUUCUUGUGUUAUGGUUGUCUUAGGGUACUCUAGGUGUUCAUGGUCCUUUGUGUUUGCGUUUCAAUGUGCUUGUUGGCCCAUGGAGAUAGAUGCCUUGGUUCAGUACAUGGUCAUUCAGCGCAGCUCCAGUCAGCUGGAGAAGGGGCACAAAUAUAGAAGGUUAGAACAAAUAGAAGUCACCAGUGUUGUAGUGUUUGUUGGAGUUGAUACGUUGCUUGUUUGCAAUUCAUCCCUGAAGCCCUGCCCUGUAGCUGCAGUCCGAUCUUUGAUAGCUCCCUAUACUUUGCGCCGCAACGCCGAGCAGCUAACCGUGGUGCGAUGGAAGGAAGGACGUGGUCGGCGCAGGCCUGUUUGGUCAUCUUUGUUUGCCAAGGACAACGGAAGCACAGAGAAGUUCAGAACUAGUUUCCAGCGGCACGGAGAAGGAUCCAUAGUCUUCCAAACUCCUGCUCAUAUGCGUCCUAGCUGCUGCCGACUUGCUGGCCUCCGAUGCACUUCAGCUCGGGCCGGCCGGCGCAAGCUGCAUACCGCGGGAGCGGGACGCCCCCUGCUGUCCUUCAAGCGCGGCAUCACCAGCGACCUCUUGGGCGUCCUUGACUCUUGGCACAAGGAAGGCCAAGGGAACUGCUGUCAGUGGAGGGGCGUCAAGUGCAGCAAUCGGACCGGCCAUAUCCUUAGGCUUGAUCUUCGUAAUCGGCAUGCGGAGACACAGACUAUCAAUGAGAACAUCUUCCCCGGAGGGUACUAUGGAGACACGGCUUUGGUUGGCCAGAUAAGUAAUUCUUUGCUCACCAUGGAUCGUCUUGUGCACCUUGAUCUUAGCAUGAAUUUCCUCCAGGGCCCAAGUGGUCGCAUGCCGGAGUUCUUGGGCUCUUUGACGAGAUUGAGAUAUCUCAACCUCUCUGGCAUACCAUUUUCUGGCAGAGUGCCCCCUCAGCUCGGCAACCUCUCAAACUUGCAGCAUCUUGACCUCUCAUGCCAAAUUGGCACAGGACGUAUGUACUCAAGAGACAUUUCAUGGGUAGCACGCAUCCCUAAAUUGCGGUCUCUUGGAAUGAAUUCAGUAAACCUCAGCACGAUAGUUGAUUGGCCUUAUGUUGUCAACAUGAUUCCUUCUUUGAAGGCCCUCAACCUUCGGUUUUGCUCUCUUUCAACCGCAAAUCAUUCACUCCCACAUAUUAACCUUACCAAACUCGAGAGGCUUGAUCUCUCCGACAACACCUUUGCACACCCAAUGGCAAGGGGUUGGUUUUGGAAUUUGACAGGCCUCCAGCAUCUUUACCUUGUCGGCACUCAACUGUACGGUCAAGCUCCGGAUGCACUGGCACAUAUGACAUCCCUCCAAGUCCUUGAUUUGUCAGGUAAUCCUAACAUGGGAGGGAUGAGCAGUACAAGCUUCAAACACCUAUGCAGUCUGAAAAUUCUGGACCUUUCUUGGUGUCAAAUUGUUGAAAAUAUAAAGGAUAUUAUAGGGAGGAUGCCACAGUGUCCCUUGAACAAACUGCAAGUGUUGCGUUUGGGCUACAACAAUAUCAGCGGAAACAUGCCGGAUCAGACAGCACACCUGACCAGCUUAGUCGUUCUUGAUAUCUCUGUGAACAACCUAAAUGGAGGCAUACCGCACGGGGUGGGGCUGCUCUCUAGUUUAAGCAGACUUGAUCUCUCUUCCAACAAUCUCAGUGGACCUGUGCCAUCUGAGAUCGGCAUGCUCGGCAACUUGACCAUGAUGAAUCUUGAAGGCAACAACUUGACUGGUGAUUUCACUGAAGAACAUUUUGCAAGUCUAACGAAGUUAAAGUCGCUGGAUUUAAGUGGGAAUUCCUUGAGGAUUACAGUUGAUCCCGAUUGGAUACCACCCUUCAGUUUAGAAGAAGUAGAACUUUCCUCUUGCCAAUUAGGUCCUUCAUUUCCUGCAUGGCUUCAGUUCCAAGUGGAUGCUCUCCGGGUGGAGUUAUCAAGCACAGGUAUAGUUGAUAGGCUUCCUGAUUGGUUCAACACUACAUUUGCAAAGGUCACAUAUCUGCACAUCUCCAACAAUGAAAUUAGUGGCAGGUUGCCGGCAAACAUGGAAUUCAUGUCACUGCAAUUUUUCUUUAUCAAUUCAAAUACACUAACUGGUGAAAUCCCGAACUUACCAAGAAAUAUUACCUUCUUGGACAUGUCCGAAAACUCAUUAACUGGAAAUUUGCCAUCAAACAUUGGGACUCCGGAUUUGAUUUCAUUGGUGCUGAUCUCCAAUCAAAUAACUGGUCAUAUUCCCGAAUCUCUCUGCAAAGCGGAAGCCUUUUCUGCACCGGCGGCUACUGGAAUAAUUGAUGAUUCUGGGCUUGAGUUCCUGCUCGAUGUCAUUGACAGGUUACGAGAGGAGUUCGCCGAGAACCUUGUGCACCCAGAUCCGGUUCCUCUGGUCUUUUUGCCCAACAGCGGAGCCGGCCUUUCCGUCCCUGCAGACUCGAAUGCUGUGUCUGGAUGCGCUCAACAGCUUGGCGGCGAUGGGACUGGUAGGGCAGCAGUUGGGGUCUGCCUGUCAUCCGGAUGCAUCUGCAACAAGGUCGGCGCAGUCGACUGA